Non-coding RNA from Pogona vitticeps (central bearded dragon), 432 nucleotides. Lineage: Eukaryota; Metazoa; Chordata; Lepidosauria; Squamata; Agamidae. The record is from RefSeq and is a predicted model, not a curated record.
AGUUCCAUGGUUUAAGCGUUGUAUUCUGUUCUCCUGGGAUAUGGACUGAUUCACAUUGAAAGUGUCAUCACUGGAUUGUUUAUAGCCGCUGGACAGCAGGGAGAAAAUGGGGGGAGAAUCAUCAGUGAAGUAAAAGCCUCCCCUGAUCAUUGCACCUGCCAAGUAUAUGCUAGAAAUUUCUCCCAAACACCAGGAAGCAUGGUGCAGGAAGCUUAUGGGGGAAGAGAAUCAGCUGUCUGGCAGCUGACAGUUGACCGGGCUUCCCAUAGGAGAAGAUGCCGUAAGGGAAUGUUUCCCAUGGAGCUUUUUCAGAUCGGGAAGCAUGGUCAGCCAGGGAAUUGAAGAAUGAUGAAGAGAUGGUGAAUAAUUAAAGCAACACCAACACCAAUAUUCAUACUAUCCUCAGUCAUCUUGCAAUGAUAAAAUAAACUC